AAUAGAUACCCGGGUAGUCCACGCCGUAAACGGUGGGUACUAGGUGUGGGUUUCCUUCCUUGGGAUCCGUGCCGUAGCUAACGCAUUAAGUACCCCGCCUGGGGAGUACGGCCGCAAGGCUAAAACUCAAAGGAAUUGACGGGGGCCCGCACAAGCGGCGGAGCAUGUGGAUUAAUUCGAUGCAACGCGAAGAACCUUACCUGGGUUUGACAUGCACAGGACGACUGCAGAGAUGUGGUUUCCCUUGUGGCCUGUGUGCAGGUGGUGCAUGGCUGUCGUCUGCUCGUGUCGUGAGAUGUUGGGUUAAGUCCCGCAACGAGCGCAACCCUUGUCUCAUGUUGCCAGCACGUGAUGGUGGGGACUCGUGAGAGACUGCCGGGGUCAACUCGGAGGAAGGUGGGGAUGACGUCAAGUCAUCAUGCCCCUUAUGUUCCAGGGCUUCACACAUGCUACAAUGGCCGGUACAAAGGGCGGCGAUGCCGUGAGGCUUAGCGAAUCCGUUUAAAGCCGGUCUCAGUUCGGAUCGGGGUCUG
This 533-nucleotide ribosomal RNA is filed under the name uncultured bacterium. RNAcentral's name for it is "bacterial SSU rRNA". It matches the Rfam family "Bacterial small subunit ribosomal RNA", at positions 777 to 1307 of the family's 1533-position model. The record is from RNAcentral.